RNAcentral lists this transfer RNA (77 nucleotides) under Kibdelosporangium aridum. Its description in RNAcentral is "tRNA_Leu_GAG". It matches the Rfam family "tRNA". Rfam says of the family: Transfer RNA (tRNA) molecules are approximately 80 nucleotides in length. Their secondary structure includes four short double-helical elements and three loops (D, anti-codon, and T loops). Further hydrogen bonds mediate the characteristic L-shaped molecular structure. tRNAs have two regions of fundamental functional importance: the anti-codon, which is responsible for specific mRNA codon recognition, and the 3' end, to which the tRNAs corresponding amino acid is attached (by aminoacyl-tRNA synthetases). tRNAs cope with the degeneracy of the genetic code in two manners: having more than one tRNA (with a specific anti-codon) for a particular amino acid; and 'wobble' base-pairing, i.e. permitting non-standard base-pairing at the 3rd anti-codon position. Lineage: Bacteria; Bacillati; Actinomycetota; Actinomycetes; Pseudonocardiales; Pseudonocardiaceae. The record is from RNAcentral. RNAcentral also lists the same sequence under 1 other name.
GCGGUUCUAGCCCAACUGGCAGAGGCACCAGGUUGAGGGCCUGCUCAGUGGGGGUUCGACUCCCCCGGACCGCACCA